Molecule: ribosomal RNA, 375 nt
Filed under: uncultured eukaryote
Lineage: Eukaryota
Description: partial 18S ribosomal RNA
Rfam family: Eukaryotic small subunit ribosomal RNA
Source: RNAcentral
CAAUAGCGUAUAUUUAAGUUGUUGCAGUUAAAAAGCUCGUAGUUGGAUUUCGGUUAAGAGCGACCGGUCCGCCGUUUGGUGUGCACUGGUUGGUUUUAACUUCCUGUAGAGGACGUGCUCUGGGUUUAACGACCUGGACUCGGAGUCUACGUGGUUACUUUGAAAAAAUUAGAGUGUUCAAAGCGGGCUUACGCUUGAAUAUUUCAGCAUGGAAUAACACUAUAGGACUCCUGUCCUAUUUCGUUGGUCUCGGGACGGGAGUAAUGAUUAAGAGGAACAGUUGGGGGCAUUCGUAUUUCAUUGUCAGAGGUGAAAUUCUUGGAUUUAUGAAAGACGAACUUCUGCGAAANCANNNGCCAAGGAUGUUUUCAUNAG